Long non-coding RNA from Strigops habroptila (Kakapo), 575 nucleotides. RefSeq lists it as uncharacterized. The transcript is spliced from 3 exons. NCBI's taxonomy places the organism in Eukaryota, Metazoa, Chordata, Aves, Psittaciformes, Psittacidae. The record is from RefSeq and is a predicted model, not a curated record.
GCAGCCGCCAGGGGGCGCGGCGGCGGCAGCAGCUCAGUUUUGGCUCCAGCUCGUGUCGGUUUGUGCUCUGGGUUCAGGUCCAGCUUACGGACGGCUUCAGCUCCUGGUUGUUGUGGCUGCAGCUCAUUUGCAGCUUCAGGCCCAGCCCCUGGAUGGCUCCAGCUCGUGUCCAUCUCCAGCCCCUCCUCAGCUCCAACUCCGGUCCCAGCCAGCUCCAGCCUGUGCCUGAACUGGGCCUGGCUCGGGGCCGGGUCCCGUGGUUUGAGCCCAGCCGGUAACUCAGAACCACGCAGCUGCUCGAUCACCCCCCGCUUCUUGCCCCCCUGCUCCCGGAGGGAUGGGGAGGAGAAUGGAAAGAAUGUAAAUCCCAUGGGUUGAGAUAAGAGCAGUCCAGUAACUAAGGUACAAUACAAAACCACUACUGCUGCCACCAAUAAUGAUAAGGGAAAUAACAAGGGGAGAGAAUAUAAAACUAAAAGGGGAAAAGAAAACAAUAAACACAAGUGAUGCCCAACACAAUUGCUCAGCACUCACUGACCGAUCCCCAGCCCAACCUGAGCAGCAAUCUGGGCCCU